RNAcentral lists this ribosomal RNA (640 nucleotides) under bacterium N72. RNAcentral describes it as "bacterial SSU rRNA". It matches the Rfam family "Bacterial small subunit ribosomal RNA", at positions 43 to 663 of the family's 1533-position model. The record is from RNAcentral.
CGUGCCCUAAUACAUGCAAGUCGAGCGGACUUGAUGGGAGCUUGCUCCUGUCAAGUUAGCGGCGGACGGGUGAGUAACACGUGGGCAACCUGCCCAAUAGUUGGGGAUAACUCCGGGAAACCGGGGCUAAUACCGAAUAAUACAUUUCAUCUCCUGUUGGAAUGUUGAAAGAUGGUUUACGCUAUCGCUAUUGGAUGGGCCCGCGGCGCAUUAGCUAGUUGGUGAGGUAACGGCUCACCAAGGCGACGAUGCGUAGCCGACCUGAGAGGGUGAUCGGCCACACUGGGACUGAGACACGGCCCAGACUCCUACGGGAGGCAGCAGUAGGGAAUCUUCCACAAUGGGCGAAAGCCUGAUGGAGCAACGCCGCGUGAGUGAAGAAGGUUUUCGGAUCGUAAAACUCUGUUGUAAGGGAAGAACAAGUACAGUAGUAACUGGCUGUACCUUGACGGUACCUUAUUAGAAAGCCACGGCUAACUACGUGCCAGCAGCCGCGGUAAUACGUAGGUGGCAAGCGUUGUCCGGAAUUAUUGGGCGUAAAGCGCGCGCAGGUGGUCCUUUAAGUCUGAUGUGAAAGCCCACGGCUCAACCGUGGAGGGUCAUUGGAAACUGGGGGACUUGAGUGCAGAAGAGGAAAGUG